RNAcentral lists this ribosomal RNA (423 nucleotides) under uncultured Flammeovirgaceae bacterium. Its description in RNAcentral is "bacterial SSU rRNA". It matches the Rfam family "Bacterial small subunit ribosomal RNA", at positions 355 to 776 of the family's 1533-position model. Lineage: Bacteria; Pseudomonadati; Bacteroidota; Cytophagia; Cytophagales; Flammeovirgaceae. The record is from RNAcentral.
UAGGGAAUAUUGGUCAAUGGAUGGAAGUCUGAACCAGCCAUGCCGCGUGCAGGAAGAAGGCCUUCUGGGUUGUAAACUGCUUUUGCCAGGGGAUAAAAAGACCGUGCGCGGUUAAUUGAAGGUACCUGGUGAAUAAGCCACGGCUAACUACGUGCCAGCAGCCGCGGUAAUACGUAGGUGGCAAGCGUUGUCCGGAUUUAUUGGGUUUAAAGGGUGCGUAGGCGGCCCUGUAAGUCAGUGGUGAAAUAUCUCAGCUUAACUGAGAGGGUGCCAUUGAUACUGCAGGGCUUGAGUACAGAUGAGGUAGGCGGAAUUGACGGUGUAGCGGUGAAAUGCAUAGAUAUCGUCAAGAACACCGAUAGCGAAGGCAGCUUACUAAGCUGUAACUGACGCUGAGGCACGAAAGUGUGGGGAUCAAACAGG